RNAcentral lists this unclassified non-coding RNA (554 nucleotides) under Melitaea cinxia (Glanville fritillary). RNAcentral's name for it is "misc RNA ENSMCXG00005014845.1". The record is from RNAcentral. Lineage: Eukaryota; Metazoa; Arthropoda; Insecta; Lepidoptera; Nymphalidae.
UUAUGAAUCAUUAGGUUUUAGUAUUUCAUAGUUUAUGUAGUAACUUACUACCGUUUAUAAUAUAAGAUUUAUUUCGAAAUUUUACCAUGUUAUACAUAUUUACAAUUCACAACUUAAGAUCUAAACGUUUACAGAUAACUUCCUGUAUAUAUCAUGUCCGCGUGGAAUAGCGCUAUGUCGAUAUAUUACUAUGUAGAUUAUAUUGAAAAUAUAAAUAAACUUUUCGAAAAUCAUAAUUUGAAAUUUUUGAAUUAGUGGAGCGCCUGGGGAUUUUGACCUACGAUCUCUGGGGGUUGAAUAAAUUUAACCAAUGGGAUUUAGUUUUCUAUACUCGAAAUUACAACUUCUAUCAAAAUUAUAUUGUGAGAUUGAUUUUUAGUCGUUUAAAAAAAUGGUAAAUUAAUAUAGCAGCAUAAUAUUUUCUUUAAAGUCAUGUUUUUUUAAAGAUAUUUUUUUUAUGUCACUAGGUCGGCAAACAAGCGUACGGCUCACCUGAUGGUAAGCGAUUACCGUAGCUUAUAGACACCUGCAACAUCAGAAGCAUCGCAAGCACG